UUUUAACGAGAGUUUGAUCCUGGCUCAGGAUGAACGCUGGCGGCGUGCUUAACACAUGCAAGUCGAACGAAGCACCUUGAUUUGAUUCUUCGGAUGAAGAUCUUGGUGACUGAGUGGCGGACGGGUGAGUAACGCGUGGGUAACCUGCCUCAUACAGGGGGAUAACAGUUAGAAAUGACUGCUAAUACCGCAUAAGACCACAG
Molecule: ribosomal RNA, 203 nt
Filed under: Ruminococcus sp. AF25-17
Lineage: Bacteria; Bacillati; Bacillota; Clostridia; Eubacteriales; Oscillospiraceae
Description: partial 16S ribosomal RNA
Rfam family: Bacterial small subunit ribosomal RNA
Source: RNAcentral